UGUUAAACUGGUUCCCAAUUGGCUUAGCA
This 29-nucleotide non-coding RNA is filed under the name Rattus norvegicus (Norway rat). The record is from RNAcentral. Lineage: Eukaryota; Metazoa; Chordata; Mammalia; Rodentia; Muridae.